GUGUUAGCGUGGUACCACGCUCCUAGUAUAUAUCUCGGAACAAGGCAGAUGAACAUACGUCAUGUACGCGUGUACCUCGUGAAGUGCGACGGUAUGUUGAUGGUGAAGCCGAAUACGAACAAGAACCGAGAGGAGGAGGUACGGCAGGAUGCGCGGUUCUUCGGAGCGGGCUCCGACGGAGGGCCGGGCACCGUCGAAGGCCAGUGGCCGUCGGACGUGGUGGACGACGCGCCCGAGGGUGUGGCGUGGUACGCGCUGGAGAGGGAGGCGGUGCCGGGCGAGUACGACGAGGCCCACACGCUCGCGCACCGGUAGCAACAGAGGAGGCGGUUCCGGCGCUCCCUCUAGAUGUCCCCGUUGCUCCGGCGGAAGAGCCUCGCCGAUUCGUCGGGCCCGUAGCUGCUCGAGACGUCCGUACCGGUCCCCUAGCAGAAGCGCGGGAUGCCGCUGGUGACCGCGGACGAGGCUGCCUAGGAGUACUGUCUCGACGAGUCGCGCGCCGCGCAGCUCCGCAAGGCUGCCUAGACGCUCCUCCUCCGCCGGGCGGAGCAGAGCAGCGAAGCCCGCUGCAGGCUGCCGGCCGAGCACUUGUAGCUGCUCGCCGAGCUGCUCAAGUACUGUCUGAGCCGGCACGCGCGGUAGAAGCCCCUGUCCGACGGGCUAUCUCGGCGUAAGGACUUCUAGCAGUUCGUUCCUCACCCGGACAGCAGCGACAAGCUGGAGGCCCUGGAGAAGGGAAGCAGCGCCAAUCGAGCCGAAGACGGCGCGUCGCCGUCCCGCCUCGCCGUCGCAGUUCUGUGCAAGUCCGAGUACCUGUUGUAGGAAUUCUGGGUCCUCCUCUCCUCCUACCCAUCUCUACCUCUACUGCUUGUCCUGUACCAGCUACACAACGACUCCUAGGUCUUUCUUCCGUUGUACGCUCAAAGGGAUAGGCUGCCUCAGUAUUCCCGUGACGAGUAUCUACAGAAGCCACGGCGUGAACUGUGGUGUUGAUGAUAAGAUGUUACCCGCUACCGACUUGAUUACAGUUUGGGUUCCCAGUACGUCGCCCACGUUAGGCUCCGUCUAAUACAAGAGCGUUCUGUACGGUGCCAUGUUCUCCGUAGUGAUUUCUCGUACGUGAUGGAGUUCCACCAAUAAUUUCUCUGGAACGCUGAUGUGGGAGGACGCAGCGAGAAGGGAUUUCACACACGUUCUGACGUUCUAAGUUCCUAUGCUGUAUGGUGCCCCCCGAUGAUACGAUUGGUUUUGUACCCGUUAGAGAUCCCUGGGCUUCAUAACCAUACUCUGUUUUUCCAAGUACGGUCUCUCCAAACUUCCGUUACCACAACGGCUGAAAUCUCCAAACCUGAAGCUCAAGUGAGGAAAGCCACAACCCGCCUCCUAAACGGGACCCUAACUAAAACGUAUACGUUUGCAACUCUAACGUUACCGAUCGGAAUAAAUGGUAAAACUGACCCUCGACGGAGGGUCUCACCUGGGUUCCCUUUAUCUGUACUGUCUCCACAAACCUCGUUGGCAAGCUUCCUUCCGGCUCGAUAAAGACGUAGGGCAAGGAGCAUAGGGGGACAUCUGCUUAUCGUAAAUGUUUUGGUGUACGAGAAAUUAUAUUCAUCGAUACAUGGAACACACUAGUAUUAUAUUUAAAGAUAUUUCAUGUCAAACUAUACGUAUAAAUUUUUUGUACAUCACAAAAUGUUCUUAUGGGGAUGUGUAACACAUAAAAACACAGUGUUUUACCUAAAGUAUUACAGAAUGAGGAUCUGAUAGACAUGUAUAAACGAGGCCAGAUGUUACGGGAAUAGAUACUGUUUCCAGUUAUUACCAGUUUUAUAACGAAGCACAUGAGGGAUUGUG
Molecule: ribosomal RNA, 1857 nt
Filed under: Triticum aestivum (bread wheat)
Lineage: Eukaryota; Viridiplantae; Streptophyta; Magnoliopsida; Poales; Poaceae
Description: partial small subunit ribosomal RNA
Source: RNAcentral